CACGUAGGGCAAGCGUUGUCCGGAUUUAUUGGGCGUAAAGAGCUCGUAGGCUGUUCGAUAAGUCGGGUGUGAAACCUCCAGGCUCAACCGGAGACGCCACCCGAUACUGUCAUGACUAGAGUCCGGUAGGGGAGCGUGGAAUUCCUGGUGUAGCGGUGAAAUGCGCAGAUAUCAGGAGGAACACCAGCGGCGAAGGCGGCGCUCUGGGCCGGUACUGACGCUGAGGAGCGAAAGCGUGGGUAGCAAACAGG
RNAcentral lists this ribosomal RNA (251 nucleotides) under uncultured bacterium. RNAcentral's name for it is "partial 16S ribosomal RNA". It matches the Rfam family "Bacterial small subunit ribosomal RNA", at positions 526 to 776 of the family's 1533-position model. The record is from RNAcentral.